RNAcentral lists this ribosomal RNA (368 nucleotides) under uncultured organism. RNAcentral's name for it is "bacterial SSU rRNA". It matches the Rfam family "Bacterial small subunit ribosomal RNA", at positions 526 to 896 of the family's 1533-position model. The record is from RNAcentral.
CGGAGGGUGCAAGCGUUAUCCGGAUUCACUGGGUUUAAAGGGUGUGUAGGCGGGCUGUUAAGUCAGUGGUGAAAUCUCCGGGCUCAACCUGGAAACUGCCAUUGAUACUAUCAGUCUUGAAUUUUGUUGAGGUAGGCGGAAUAUGUCAUGUAGCGGUGAAAUGCUUAGAUAUGACAUAGAACACCGAUUGCGAAGGCAGCUUACUAAGCAAAUAUUGACGCUGAGGCACGAAAGCGUGGGGAUCAAACAGGAUUAGAUACCCUGGUAGUCCACGCCCUAAACGAUGAUUACUCGACAUACGUGAUACACUAUGUGUGUCUGAGCGAAAGCAUUAAGUAAUCCACCUGGGAAGUACGUCCGCAAGGAUG